Molecule: ribosomal RNA, 257 nt
Filed under: uncultured prokaryote
Description: partial 16S ribosomal RNA
Rfam family: Bacterial small subunit ribosomal RNA
Source: RNAcentral
UACGUAGGUGGCAAGCGUUGUCCGGAUUUACUGGGUGUAAGGGGCGCGUAGGCGGGGCAGCAAGUCGGAUGUGAAAUAUCUCAGCUUAACUGAGAUCGUGCAUUUGAAACUGUUGUUCUUGAGUAUCGGAGAGGCAGGCGGAAUUCCCAGUGUAGCGGUGAAAUGCGUAGAUAUUGGGAGGAACACCAGUGGCGAAGGCGGCCUGCUGGACGACAACUGACGCUGAGGCGCGAAAGCGUGGGGAGCAAACAGGAUUA